RNAcentral lists this ribosomal RNA (300 nucleotides) under uncultured bacterium. RNAcentral describes it as "bacterial SSU rRNA". It matches the Rfam family "Bacterial small subunit ribosomal RNA", at positions 399 to 691 of the family's 1533-position model. The record is from RNAcentral.
GCGUGCAGGAUGAAGGUCUUCGGAUUGUAAACUGCUUUUGUCAGGGACGAAAAGGUUUCGGUUAAUACCCGAAACUGCUGACGGUACCUGAAGAAUAAGCACCGGCUAACUACGUGCCAGCAGCCGCGGUAAUACGUAGGGUGCAAGCGUUAAUCGGAAUUACUGGGCGUAAAGCGUGCGCAGGCGGUUCCGUAAGAUAGAUGUGAAAUCCCCGGGCUUAACCUGGGAAUUGCAUUUAUGACUGCGGAACUGGAGUUUAUCAGAGGGGGGUGGAAUUCCAAGUGUAGCAGUGAAAUGCGU